Long non-coding RNA from Corvus hawaiiensis (hawaiian crow), 788 nucleotides. RefSeq lists it as uncharacterized. Lineage: Eukaryota; Metazoa; Chordata; Aves; Passeriformes; Corvidae. The transcript has 2 exons. The record is from RefSeq and is a predicted model, not a curated record.
CGCCGCCAGCGCUCCGCAUCCCCUUUCCUUUCCCGUUCCCGGGAUGCGGCACCGCGCCUUGCGGGGCUCGCUCCGCACUACGGCCCCUCUCCAUUGACCGCCCUUCCCGGGCGGGGGCGGCUGAGCUGCGCCAGGCAAGGUUGAGGUCGCACAUCAGGAGGAAUUCCUUCCCGAAAAGGGUUGGCCUCGAUGAUGCCAGAGGUGUUUUCCAGCCCCGGUGACUCCGUGGUUCCCGCAGCGAGCCCCGCAGCUCGGGGCCGGAGGGCGGGUGAGUGGCGGUGCCCUGGCCGGAGCGGGGCCGGCCCGAGCAGCCCCCGCUGCCCCUGGCCAGGCGAGCCAGGAAUUGGCUCAUUCCCUGCUCUGCCACCGGGCAGCCCCCGCUGUCCCUGGCCAGGUGAGCCUGCGGGCUGCAGGAAUUGGGUUAUUGCUGCUUCGUUCCCCGCUCUGCGGGCAGGAGCGGAUCCGCCACCGCACAGCCCCGUAGGAUGAAUGCGUGGCAUCGGGCCGGCCCCUGCUGGGCUCUGCUCCCUGAACUCCAGGGCUCUUGGACAGCGCUCCAGAGGGACGUGCCCGGAGUCCGAAGGCUGUGGGAAGCAGCUGAACCCGGGCAGGCAGGGCAGCGUGGCACCGAGCCCAGCGCCAUCCCCACACCCCUCAGACAAGGGACGAAGCUGAAGCAAGACUUGUGGUGUUUCUGUUUACGGUACAAAAAUACACAUUUAGGUGUUCUCGAGCAUCUCCAGCCCGCUCUGCAGUCCUAACGUGAAAUAAACGUUUGUCUUCCCGUG